CUGCUGCCUCCCGUAGGAGUCUGGUCCGUGCCUCAGUACCAGUGUGGGGGACCUUCCUCUCAGAACCCCUACGCAUCGUCGCCUCGGUGGGCCGUUACCCCGCCGACUAGCUAAUGCGACGCAUGGCCAUCCUAUGCCGGAGUCGCCUCCUUUGACCACCUGGAGAUGUCUCCAAAUGGUGUUAUGCGGUAUUAGACGGAAUUUCUUCCGCUUAUCCCCCUGCAUAGGGCAGGUUCCAUACGUGUUACUCACCCGUGCCGG
RNAcentral lists this ribosomal RNA (261 nucleotides) under uncultured bacterium. Its description in RNAcentral is "partial 16S ribosomal RNA". The record is from RNAcentral.